This 254-nucleotide ribosomal RNA is filed under the name uncultured bacterium. Its description in RNAcentral is "partial 16S ribosomal RNA". It matches the Rfam family "Bacterial small subunit ribosomal RNA", at positions 524 to 776 of the family's 1533-position model. The record is from RNAcentral.
UACGUAGGGGGCAAGCGUUGUCCGGAAUCAUUGGGCGUAAAGCGCGUGUAGGCGGCCCGGUAAGUCCGCUGUGAAAGUCGGGGGCUCAACCCUCGAAUGCCGGUGGAUACUGUCGGGCUAGAGUGCGGGAGAGGCGAGUGGAAUUCCUGGUGUAGCGGUGAAAUGGCGCAGAUAUCAGGAGGAACACCGGUGGCGAAGGCGGGUCUCUGGGCAUUACCUGACGCUGAGGAGCGAAAGUGUGGGGAGCGAACAGG